UCGCCGCCCUUCCUCCCGCCGCCACCAUAUCCUCAUCUCUCUGCUCCUCCCUCCUCCUCCCUUUCAUCCUCAAGCUGAGCUCCCUCUGUAAUCGCAUCUCCCUUCUACCCGUCGGGGUGGCAGCGGCCUCAGUCGGUGAGGCGGAGGAGGGGGCCCUCCAUGGCGUCGCGACCGAAUCCUCCGGCUAGCCGUCUCUAUCCGUCCGUCCAAUCGACGACCGAGAAAAGAUGGAGGCCGCCACCACGCACUGGUUCAGGUUUGCAUCUUCUGAUUCGGUAGAUUUGUGUUUUGGAGAGAGGCUGGGGGGGACGGCUGCUCAGAUCUAAGGGCUGAGAUUGCACGGUGUUUGCAGCACCGUGGUUGUCAUUGUGUACACAAGAGAAGCCUAGCCCAAGCUUCAUAAGUCCAUGGCCACUUGAGAUGAGAUGGUAUGCAACAUACGAACUAUGUAAUAUGCCGUUACUUGAGUUCGGUGGUGUAGUGUGCUGCGUUGAUUCAGCCCCACCGUUUCACCUGAAUGGAUUGGAUUCGUUGGUUGUCAUUAGCUCAAGGUUCUGGGGCUGAACCUAAGUUGUUUUCCCUAAAUUUAAGAGAGGCAAACUUAAUGAAUUGCUCACAGCGAUGGUUCAGGUUACUAAGUUGGAAGUCCUGCCACCGAACAGACUGCAAGGCGACCCAGCCCUCAUGACCCCUUCAGCGCAGCGUUAUCACUCCACACCACCAUGCCGUAUGCAAAGGACGAUCCUGAUGGACAUGCUGAAGAAACAUGCCUGCCUCUCCACCAGGAGAACCUAUUGAUAUCUUCAGUUCAAAUGCAGAUAGCCAUUGGUGUGGAAUACAGCGACAUAGUAUUUUCCUCUUCCCGAAGCGUGCGCAAGGACCAAGAGACUGUCUGAUCCCGUGGGUGAUGAUUUGGGUUUUGAACUGCUGCUGGCCGUGGGAUGUGCUUGGAUGGUGGAUGUUUGGGUCAAGGAGACAGCAAGGCACUCCAUCUCAGAUCAGUAUUUUAGUAUUGUUUUUUUUGCUCUAUGACAAUUUCAUCCCUUCCAGGAGCUGGUUCAUUGCUGGGAGGCAUAUGUCUUCAUUUCUCUGGACAGGUGCUCAAUAUUGUGUAUCUUUUUUAUUAGCAUUCAAGCCAUGGGCUUUGGCCUUAAACAUGCAUGUGUUGUCUUGAAAAGCGUUUGGAGAAAAUGAGAGGAAGAAUUACUAUAGGGGUGUUCAAUUUUGGUGGUGCAAGUACCAUUUACGUUUCCUCGCUGCCGCAACAAUGCCCAACUUAUGUAGAUGUUGCUUUUGUUGUUCUUUCAUUACUUCUAUUGCUCUUGACAUAGCUCCUAUGUUUCCCUGGUUAUAUAUAAAUGUUUCCAAUUUUGUUUGGAAUUUUGUUUGCCUUAUUCUAAGUUCAUCCUAUUGACUUCGUUUUCUAAAACCUAAGAAAUGGAUUAUUAUUUUUGCACUUAAUUUUUAUGGUACUAUACGAAGUGUGUAUUCUUAUUAGAUUCACGGGGUCGUGCGCCAAGGCGCACAUCUAAAUCUAGUUGGACUAGAGAUAAGGGUAGUUAGAGACUAAACUUGUGAAAUAACUAAAAUAUUAGAAAUUUUGAAAAAAGGGAAAAAAAGAGGGAGUUGAAAAUAAUUCGAAAAAAAAUUACGGUAGCGGGGUUCUACCGCGGCAGCGUUUUGAUGCAUUUUUCUGCCACGGCAGACCCUUUAGCACCGGUUCGUAUUACGAACUGGUGCUAAAGAUCCUCUCGCUCGGACGCCCUGCAGCCGCCACGUGGUGCACCCUUUAGCACCGGUUCGUAACUGAACUGGUGCAAAAGGGGAUCCUUUGGUACCGGAUUGUUUGCACCGGUUGGGCAUCCGGUGCAUAUAGCCCUUACCCACCGGUGCAAAAGGCCAUUUUCCACUAGUGCGUGGCCACGUACGUACAGCCGACCUCGAUCUGCUUGGCGCGAAUAGCCCAGGAAGAAACACGCGUCCACGUGUACUUCCCGCGACUCGCUUCCCACCAGGCACUAGAUUGGGAAAUCCAUCAUAGGACUCAUAGGAGUUUAUUAAUCCGUUGUGCGAAAAUAUGUUUUGAACUGUAAAAAGUUUUGAAAUAAAAUUUUGCAGGUAAAUCUAGAUAUUUUAUGUUCAUACAUAAGUUUUCAGAAAAUUUAAUGUUUUUCCGUGUCUUCUGUAAAAAAAGAUAAAUUUUGAUGCUACAACACGACUACGUGCAGAACAUUCUUUUGUUAUUUUUGUACAUGCCACAUAAAAUGUUGUUUUUUCUCAAAAACUUGUGUACAAACAUAAAAAAUCACAAUAUACACCAUACAUUUUAUGUCAGAAUUUUUUAACAUUUUUAAAAUUAUCUUUUAAUUAUUAUACAUAAUAGGUGCAAAUGCUCCUAUGAGCCGAAACGUCUCCUCCACUUGAAUAGCAAAUUUUACUUUCUUCUCUCGUAUAUGAAUCUUUAUGUGUGCUUCUUAUGACUUAUAUGCCCAUACAUUAGUAGAAAAUGAAUCUUUUGUUCGGAGCUGCAAAGAGCAUUAGUUUCGGCCGUGAUACGAUUCGGGACUAUUCAAACGGCUAGAACGCGCGGCCACAUCUAGUCCCGGUUCGAUCAGGACCAUUAGUUCCGGUUUAUGAUACAAAGCGAGACUAAAGAAGAGGCGAUGAGUACGUCAGACCGCGAGCACCUUAAUUUAGUCCCGGGUUGGAACACCAAGACUAAAGACCUUUUUAUUUGCACCUUUAGUCCCGGGUUGCAUCCAUAGAGGACCGCGAGCACCUUAAUUUAGACCGCGAGCACUAUUGGUAUACUAUGCAUGAGGCUUGCAACUUGUAGGAUAUAAUUUACAUAACUCAUAUGCUUUAUUACUACCGUUGACAAAAUUGUUUCUUGUUUUCAAAAUCAAAGCUCUUGACCGAAUCAAGUUAUUUCUUGCUAUUUUUAUGAGAAGAAAAUAAGAUGCAAUAAAAGUCAAUGACAAGCCGUUUGAUAAACCAUAGUUACAAAUGCCAGAAAAUAAGAACUGGCAAGAGGUUUGGGUACUUCUGGUAUCAAUGUAGGAAAUGGAAAAUCUUGGUCUGUUUUUUGUAUGUCUUCCAAUUACAUUGAAUCAGUGCUGUAUUAGAAUUUAAGAAAAAAAUUCAAAGCAGAGUUUUAGUUGACACUUAGUGUAAAAAAGAGAAAAUACAGUGAGAGACUUGGUUUGUGCGAUGAUAAGUAACAUGCUGAAUUAUGACAUAGAAGGUAAAAGGGAACAAGCAUGCUUGUGUUAUUUCGGUAACUCUUUGCUAGCAACUCUCCCGUUUUUUAGAUCUAUUUUCCCAUGGGAUGUUCUUUAAGAUGAAUACUUUGUAUCGACUUUACCAUAUAAUUUUGUCAACUAGGUUUACAGAAAUAAUGUUAGACUAUUUCUGAUUGUUCCAACUUUACCUGUCAGGACGAUCCUGAUGGACAUGCUGAAGAAACAUGCCUGCCUCUCCACCAGGAGAACCUAUUGAUAUCUUCAGUUCAAAUGCAGAUAGCCAUUGGUGUGGAAUACAGCGACAUAGUAUUUUCCUCUUCCCGAAGCGUGCGCAAGGACCAAGAGACUGUCUGAUCCCGUGGGUGAUGAUUUGGGUUUUGAACUGCUGCUGGCCGUGGGAUGUACUUGGAUGGUGGAUGUUUGGGUCAAGGAGACAGCAAGGCACUCCAUCUCAGAUCAGUAUUUUAGUAUUGUUUUUUUUGCUCUAUGACAAUUUCAUCCCUUCCAGGAGCUGGUUCAUUGCUGGGAGGCAUAUGUCUUCAUUUCUCUGGACAGGUGCUCAAUAUUGUGUAUCUUUUUUAUUAGCAUUCAAGCCAUGGGCUUUGGCCUUAAACAUGCAUGUGUUGUCUUGAAAAGCGUUUGGAGAAAAUGAGAGGAAGAAUUACUAUAGGGGUGUUCAAUUUUGGUGGUGCAAGUACCAUUUACGUUUCCUCGCUGCCGCAACAAUGCCCAACUUAUGUAGAUGUUGCUUUUGUUGUUCUUUCAUUACUUCUAUUGCUCUUGACAUAGCUCCUAUGUUUCCCUGGUUAUAUAUAAAUGUUUCCAAUUUUGUUUGGAAUUUUGUUUGCCUUAUUCUAAGUUCAUCCUAUUGACUUCGUUUUCUAAAACCUAAGAAAUGGAUUAUUAUUUUUGCACUUAAUUUUUAUGGUACUAUACGAAGUGUGUAUUCUUAUUAGA
This is a non-coding RNA of Lolium perenne, 4199 nucleotides long. The record is from RefSeq and is a predicted model, not a curated record. Lineage: Eukaryota; Viridiplantae; Streptophyta; Magnoliopsida; Poales; Poaceae.